RNAcentral lists this ribosomal RNA (429 nucleotides) under Actinomycetes bacterium. RNAcentral's name for it is "Actinobacteria bacterium partial 16S ribosomal RNA". It matches the Rfam family "Bacterial small subunit ribosomal RNA", at positions 355 to 776 of the family's 1533-position model. Lineage: Bacteria; Bacillati; Actinomycetota; Actinomycetes. The record is from RNAcentral.
UAGGGAAUCUUCCGCAAUGGGCGAAAGCCUGACGGAGCAACGCCGCGUGAGUGAUGAAGGUCUUCGGAUCGUAAAACUCUGUUAUUAGUGAAGAACAAAUGUGUAAGUAACUAUGCACGUCUUGACGGUACCUAAUCAGAAAGCCACGGCUAACUACGUGCCAGCAGCCGCGGUAAUACGUAGGUGGCAAGCGUUAUCCGGAAUUAUUGGGCGUAAAGCGCGCGUAGGCGGUUUUUUAAGUCUGAUGUGAAAGCCCACGGCUCAACCGUGGAGGGUCAUUGGAAACUGGAAAACUUGAGUGCAGAAGAGGAAAGUGGAAUUCCAUGUGUAGCGGUGAAAUGCGCAGAGAUAUGGAGGAACACCAGUGGCGAAGGCGACUUUCUGGUCUGUAACUGACGCUGAUGUGCGAAAGCGUGGGGAUCAAACAGG